AUUGCGACCCGACCUGAAUGGAGCUCUUUUUGUGUAGCAACGCGAAACAAAAAAGCGGGAAUGGAGGGCGGAAUUUGUC
Molecule: unclassified non-coding RNA, 79 nt
Filed under: Kaistella jeonii
Lineage: Bacteria; Pseudomonadati; Bacteroidota; Flavobacteriia; Flavobacteriales; Weeksellaceae
Description: Chryseobacterium jeonii Flavo-1 RNA
Source: RNAcentral